This 810-nucleotide long non-coding RNA is filed under the name Manacus vitellinus (golden-collared manakin). RNAcentral's name for it is "lncRNA (ENSMVIG00005006685.1)". Lineage: Eukaryota; Metazoa; Chordata; Aves; Passeriformes; Pipridae. The record is from RNAcentral.
CAGAUUCACUGUGAUGAAAUGCAGAGGUAUUGGAUAAUCAGCGUGUAUCAAACAGCUUUGGAUUGUUUUACCUGCAUUCUGCCUGUUCCUUCCGCCUGUUUAUUUAUAACAUGUCUGCACUUCUGUGGGAUUCCAUGAAAAAAGUCAUAGUAGCAACAAAGAUUUCACUGGUCCCCCCAGUGUGCACCAAACUGCCCCUGGCUUGGAGUGCAGGAUGAACACCUUCCUGCAGUGCAGACAGCCCUGUCCUUGCAGAGUAUGGACUAGGGACAGAUUGCAGCUUUUUGGUGUAACCCUCACGAAGCUGAACUUUCCAGCAUUGAAACCAAGAGCCAAAGAAGCCCAGCAGAGGAAAGGAGGAGAAGAACACAUGAAAGGCUGUAAGGGACAGCUCUGCUCACAGGAACAGAAACAGAGACUCACAGAGGUGCUGGUUGUUUCCAUGGGGCGAAGGAAGAGGUCAAACAGCAGGGCAGUGGCAUAGCCAAGAGCCAAACCCAAGUGUGCUGACUCCCUGUCCUGCUCACUGAACUUUGCCUCCUUUAGCAGGAAAAUGGCAGCCAAAAUGCUGCAAUUGUCUGGGGUGGGAACAGGACUGGGAAAGAUUCUCAGAAAAAACAUGUUCAGCUUUUUAUGAAUCUGUCACUAUCGGGAUUUGUCACUUGCAGUGACAAAACUGCCCGUGCAGUUUUUGUCCAUUGACUUCUGCUCCUCACCCAAAUUUGUUAGUGAGUCUUGACUUCUCGUGUUCCCUCUGUUUCAACAUUUCUCUCUGCAUAGUGCCUGUAAAGUCAGAGGCUUUAUUUGGUU